This 301-nucleotide ribosomal RNA is filed under the name uncultured bacterium. Its description in RNAcentral is "partial 16S ribosomal RNA". It matches the Rfam family "Bacterial small subunit ribosomal RNA", at positions 509 to 807 of the family's 1533-position model. The record is from RNAcentral.
CAGCCGCCGCGGUAAUACGGAGGGUGCGAGCGUUAAUCGGAAUAACUGGGCGUAAAGGGCACGCAGGCGGUGACUUAAGUGAGGUGUGAAAGCCCCGGGCUUAACCUGGGAAUUGCAUUUCAUACUGGGUCGCUAGAGUACUUUAGGGAGGGGUAGAAUUCCACGUGUAGCGGUGAAAUGCGUAGAGAUGUGGAGGAAUACCGAAGGCGAAGGCAGCCCCUUGGGAAUGUACUGACGCUCAUGUGCGAAAGCGUGGGGAGCAAACAGGAUUAGAUACCCGUGUAGUCCCUGUCUCUUAUAC